Molecule: ribosomal RNA, 504 nt
Filed under: uncultured bacterium
Lineage: Bacteria
Description: partial 16S ribosomal RNA
Rfam family: Bacterial small subunit ribosomal RNA
Source: RNAcentral
AUUGAACGCUGGCGGCAGGCCUAACACAUGCAAGUCGAACGGUAGCACAGAGAGCUUGCUCUCGGGUGACGAGUGGCGGACGGGUGAGUAAUGUCUGGGAAACUGCCCGAUGGAGGGGGAUAACUACUGGAAACGGUAGCUAAUACCGCAUAACGUCUUCGGACCAAAGUGGGGGACCUUCGGGCCUCAGACCAUCGGAUGUGCCCAGAUGGGAGUAGCAAGUAGGUGGGGUAAUGGCUUACCUAGGCGACGAUCCCUAGCUGGUCUGAGAGGAUGACCAGCCACACUGGAACUGAGACACGGUCCAGACUCCUACGGGAGGCAGCAGUGGGGAAUAUUGCACAAUGGGCGCAAGCCUGAUGCAGCCAUGCCGCGUGUAUGAAGAAGGCCUUCGGGUUGUAAAGUACUUUCAGCGGGGAGGAAGGCGGUGGAGUUAAUAGCUUCAUCGAUUGACGUUACCCGCAGAAGAAGCACCGGCUAACUCCGUGCCAGCCGCCGCGGUAA